AUGGCUCUUUCCGACAUCCAGUCAUCGAUCAGCUACUGCACACUUACAUUGCAGAUGCUUGACGAACUCGAAAAGAAAUUCGAGAUGCAGGCCGCGAUUCUCCAAUUGACCGCCCCCUGCCUACCUUUGUUCAAGACUGUUCAUGCCUUGUUCUCGCCGGAAUCUCCAUCAACAAGCGCGCCUGUGCAGAGGGCUCGCAGUUCCUUGCCGUCCACUCCGACGAUGACCGCGGCGAUUGUGGCGCCGAUUGUGGCGGUGCUCGAUAGGGCGACCGGGCUCCCAACGGUGACGGUGGCCUUGGGCAUGGUCACGGAGAUGCUCCCGGUGGUCGCAGCGCUGGGCAGUAGCCCUCGCUCAGUUACUUUGCUCAUAUAG
RNAcentral lists this ribosomal RNA (375 nucleotides) under Triticum aestivum (bread wheat). RNAcentral describes it as "partial small subunit ribosomal RNA". The record is from RNAcentral. Lineage: Eukaryota; Viridiplantae; Streptophyta; Magnoliopsida; Poales; Poaceae.